CUAACACAUGCAAGUCGAGGGGCAGCACGGAAGUAGCUUGCUACUUUUGGUGGCGACCGGCGCACGGGUGCGUAACGCGUAUGCAACCUACCCAUAACAGGGAGAUAACACUGAGAAAUUGGUACUAAUACCCCAUAACAUCAGAUGAGGCAUCUCAUUUGGUUGAAAGUUCCGGCGGUUAUGGAUGGGCAUGCGUUGUAUUAGCUAGUUGGUGAGGUAACGGCUCACCAAGGCGACGAUACAUAGGGGGACUGAGAGGUUAACCCCCCACAUUGGUACUGAGACACGGACCAAACUCCUACGGGAGGCAGCAGUGAGGAAUAUUGUCAAUGGACGCAAGUCUGAACCAGCCAUGCCGCGUGCAGGAUGACGGCUCUAUGAGUUGUAAACUGCUUUUGUAUAAGGGUAAACCCAGGUACGUGUACCUGACUGAAAGUACUAUACGAAUAAGGAUCGGCUAACUCCGUGCCAGCAGCCGCGGUAAUACGGAGGAUCCAAGCGUUAUCCGGAUUUAUUGGGUUUAAAGGGUGCGUAGGCGGUUUGAUAAGUUAGAGGUGAAAUACCGGGGCUCAACUCCGGAACUGCCUCUAAUACUGUUGAACUAGAGAGUAGUUGCUGUGGGCGGAAUGUAUGGUGUAGCGGUGAAAUGCUUAGAGAUCAUACAGAACACCGAUUGCGAAGGCAGCUCACAAAACUAUAUCUGACGUUGAGGCACGAAAGCGUGGGGAGCAAACAGGAUUAGAUACCCUGGUAGUCCACGCAGUAAACGAUGAUAACUCGCUGUCGGCGAUACACAGUCGGUGGCCAAGCGAAAGCGAUAAGUUAUCCACCUGGGGAGUACGUCCGCAAGAAUGAAACUCAAAGGAAUUGACGGGGGCCCGCACAAGCGGAGGAACAUGUGGUUUAAUUCGAUGAUACGCGAGGAACCUUACCCGGGCUUGAACUGCAGGAGAACGAUUCAGAGAUGAUGAGGUCCUUCGGGACUCCUGUGGAGGUGCUGCAUGGUUGUCGUCAGCUCGUGCCGUGAGGUGUCGGCUUAAGUGCCAUAACGAGCGCAACCCUUGCGCGUAGUUGCCAUCAGGUUAUGCUGGGCACUCUGCGCGGACUGCCACCGCAAGGUGUGAGGAAGGUGGGGAUGACGUCAAAUCAGCACGGCCCUUACGUCCGGGGCUACACACGUGUUACAAUGGGUGGUACAGAGAGCCGGCCGCAUGCAAAUGCGGUCCAAUCCUUAAAGCCGUCCUCAGUUCGGAUUGGGGUCUGCAACCCGACCCCAUGAAGCUGGAUUCGCUAGUAAUCGCGCAUCAGCCAUGGCGCGGUGAAUACGUUCCCGGGCCUUGUACUCACCGCCCGUCA
RNAcentral lists this ribosomal RNA (1356 nucleotides) under synthetic construct. RNAcentral's name for it is "bacterial SSU rRNA". It matches the Rfam family "Bacterial small subunit ribosomal RNA", at positions 48 to 1399 of the family's 1533-position model. RNAcentral also lists the same sequence under 1 other name. The record is from RNAcentral.